GAUGAACGCUGGCGGCGUUCCUAAUACAUGCAAGUCGAGCGAACAGAUGAGGAGCUUGCUCCUCUGACGUUAGCGGCGGACGGGUGAGUAACACGUGGAUAACCUACCUAUAAGACUGGGAUAACUUCGGGAAACCGGAGCUAAUACCGGAUAAUAUAUUGAACCGCAUGGUUCAAUAGUGAAAGACGGUUUUGCUGUCACUUAUAGAUGGAUCCGCGCCGCAUUAGCUAGUUGGUAAGGUAACGGCUUACCAAGGCAACGAUGCGUAGCCGACCUGAGAGGGUGAUCGGCCACACUGGAACUGAGACACGGUCCAGACUCCUACGGGAGGCAGCAGUAGGGAAUCUUCCGCAAUGGGCGAAAGCCUGACGGAGCAACGCCGCGUGAGUGAUGAAGGUCUUCGGAUCGUAAAACUCUGUUAUUAGGGAAGAACAAAUGUGUAAGUAACUAUGCACGUCUUGACGGUACCUAAUCAGAAAGCCACGGCUAACUACGUG
This 497-nucleotide ribosomal RNA is filed under the name uncultured bacterium. Its description in RNAcentral is "partial 16S ribosomal RNA". It matches the Rfam family "Bacterial small subunit ribosomal RNA", at positions 28 to 507 of the family's 1533-position model. The record is from RNAcentral.